ACGCUGGCGGCAGGCCUAACACAUGCAAGUCGAACGGUAGCACAGAGAGCUUGCUCUCGGGUGACGAGUGGCGGACGGGUGAGUAAUGUCUGGGAAACUGCCUGAUGGAGGGGGAUAACUACUGGAAACGGUAGCUAAUACCGCAUAACGUCGCAAGACCAAAGAGGGGGACCUUCGGGCCUCUUGCCAUCAGAUGUGCCCAGAUGGGAUUAGCUAGUAGGUGGGGUAACGGCUCACCUAGGCGACGAUCCCUAGCUGGUCUGAGAGGAUGACCAGCCACACUGGAACUGAGACACGGUCCAGACUCCUACGGGAGGCAGCAGUGGGGAAUAUUGCACAAUGGGCGCAAGCCUGAUGCAGCCAUGCCGCGUGUAUGAAGAAGGCCUUCGGGUUGUAAAGUACUUUCAGCGGGGAGGAAGGUGUUGUGGUUAAUAACCGCAGCAAUUGACGUUACCCGCAGAAGAAGCACCGGCUAACUCCGUGCCAGCAGCCGCGGUAAUACGGAGGGUGCAAGCGUUAAUCGGAAUUACUGGGCGUAAAGCGCACGCAGGCGGUCUGUCAAGUCGGAUGUGAAAUCCCCGGGCUCAACCUGGGAACUGCAUUCGAAACUGGCAGGCUAGAGUCUUGUAGA
Molecule: ribosomal RNA, 631 nt
Filed under: uncultured bacterium
Lineage: Bacteria
Description: bacterial SSU rRNA
Rfam family: Bacterial small subunit ribosomal RNA
Source: RNAcentral